AUCCACCCACCUCGGCCUCCCAAAGUGAUGGGAUUACAGUUUAGAUUUGGAUGGGCCUAUUGCAGUAAUCACGGUCAUUUUGGGCUGAGAGAUGUCUUCCCGAAACAGCUCUUUAUCAAAAUAAAGGAAAUGGGAGCAUGCUGGAA
Homo sapiens (human) is the source of this 146-nucleotide long non-coding RNA. RefSeq lists it as uncharacterized. The record is from RefSeq and is a predicted model, not a curated record. NCBI's taxonomy places the organism in Eukaryota, Metazoa, Chordata, Mammalia, Primates, Hominidae. The transcript has 2 exons.